Vespa crabro (European hornet) is the source of this 892-nucleotide long non-coding RNA. RefSeq lists it as uncharacterized. Lineage: Eukaryota; Metazoa; Arthropoda; Insecta; Hymenoptera; Vespidae. The transcript is spliced from 2 exons. The record is from RefSeq and is a predicted model, not a curated record.
GGGAUAAGGUAUUUUUUAAACAUGGGAUAUACAAAUUGCUAUCACGCUGGCAAGAAGUCAUAAAUAAUGAUGGAAAUUAUAUUAUUCAAUAAAGUUUAUUCAAGACAAAAUUUGAAUCAAAAGAUUUUGAAAAUACACUGAAAUAUGCAGUCAUUCAUUCGGUAAUACUCAAUAUAUCGCAAGUAAUACUGAACUAGGUCUCAUCACAUGAAGAUUGGUGCAUCUGAAGACCUGCCAGCUAUGACUCUAAUCUAAAAUAAGCGAUAUUGGAAUGAAAUGUUACUUACCGAAAAUUCAGGUCCUAACACUAAUUGGAUGAGGGUAAGUCCUUACUUACGGAUAGCUAGGUUGUCGCAACAUCGGCAGCUUCAUACAUUAUUUUUUGAUACAAUCGAUCUCCUAUUCAAAAUUUUGAGCAAUAAAACGAAGUCCACAGUAGGACUUUAAAUCGUGCUCACGAGUGUUAAAAUAAUUUUCUACUUUAAAAGCCGCGUUCCCGGAAUGAUAUGAGCUUAUCGAGAAUUCAGGAUUCCAACGUUAUCUAGUCGGUCUCGACCGCUUACGGAUAACAGGACCGUCGCAACAUCGAUAGCUUCAUGUACUAUUUUUUAACAAGACCAAUCUUCUAAUCGAACUUUUAAAUAAUAAAACUAGUCUACGAUGGAACUAAUUCCGACGCGUACAUGGAUAUUUUACUCAUCCCGUCCAUUGCGAAGAAAAGAAGAGAAAAGGAGAGAAACAGAAAGAAAGAAGGAGAAGAAAAAAAACUGAAAGAAACAAAUCUGCCAAAAGGUUCUACCAAAAAAAAACCAGAAUAAUUAAUCUAGAAUAAUUGGUUAAACCAUUAUACGCGUUUCAAUAAAUAGAGAUGACUGUUUAUUUGCCGAAAAUA